GUAGGUGAACCUGCGGAAGGAUCAUUACUGAGUUCAUGCCCUAACGGGUAGAUCUCCCACCCUUGAAUAUAUAAACCUUUGUUGCUUUGGCGGGCCGCUUCGGCUACCGGCUUCGGCUGGUGAGUGCCCGCCAGAGGACCCAAACUCUAAUGUUUCUUAUUGUAACUUCUGAGUAAAACAAACUAAUAAAUCAAAACUUUCAACAACGGAUCUCUUGGUUCUG
RNAcentral lists this unclassified non-coding RNA (223 nucleotides) under rhizosphere metagenome. RNAcentral describes it as "partial ribosomal RNA internal transcribed spacer region". The record is from RNAcentral.